CAGCAUGCGUGGAUCGUGUGGCAGGGCAGGCACCGUCAGGGUGUGACCUUCGAAGCCAUGACGAUCUUCCUAAUGCUGCAGCAACGCAGACACCUCCUCCUCUCCUAGCUAUGACAACAUCUAUUUGGUUGUCUCAUCUACAAGGCAAAGCAAGGAAGGAGAACAAAGAUGAAUCAAGCUGCUUUGACAACAUCUAUUUGGUUGUUUCCUGUACAAGGAAAAGCAAGGAAGGAUAACAAACAUGAAUCAGAUGCAAUAAAAAACAGGAGAGCACGAUGAAAAACAUGCCACAGAGAUAUGAAGAAAUCUUGAUGACAUCGGCAGCCGAUGACUGAGACACCAUGUUUGUGCGGUGAACGAAUUUCCUGAUUUUGGAGCAAUGAAGCCUCAAAAUAUUUUUUUGGCAAUCCUGUUUGUUAUUCGGAAACUGCAAUUAAUGCAUAGUCCUACAUCCUUGUUGCAGCUAUCUCUAGAGUAUUUCAACAAACAUAUUGUGGGUGUGAGCAUAGGGCAAACUUGCAAGUCUUGACUCUUGUGUUCUGUAUCUAGUGCUUGUGGAUGACCAAGACAAGCACCAUAGUAACAAGUGCCUUGACGUUGCAGUCCAGGAAAGUAGUGUAUCACAUAUAUUUGUAUUUAUAGUACAGGAAAUCAAUCAGCCGCUGUUCAAGAGCACUAAAUGUAAGAAGAUCAGUUCCACCAGCGGCGAGACGGUCUGAGCCCUCGGCUCAUGCUGGAGUGUCAAUGACUGAGCUUCCUCCAAGAUAGUUCAGAAAAUUUAUGAAAAACAACACAAUGUCUUUGUCUUAGUAACAGAUUUACUAAUAUCCAAUUUAUUUCACAUGAUAGAUCAUUUGAAGGUAAAUCUACUAAAACUUCCUAGGUAUACAUAAGUCCCGUUCAAAUUAGGAACAAUAACAGCGAAGAACACCAAGCUUUGAAUGAUAUAUUUUUCGCAAUUGUCACUGGGGCUGAUAAUCCUACUACAAAGAUGCACAACCCUUUGAAUAUAAAAAACAACCACUAAUACCACAAAAGAGGAUGAGAGCCAGAUCAUCCAAAGAAAAAUCAAAGAAGGGUAAGAAAUAAUAAAGUGGGCAGAUAAAAUACAAGGAACAAACUCUCAACAACCAGCCAAAAUACCCCAACG
RNAcentral lists this ribosomal RNA (1150 nucleotides) under Triticum aestivum (bread wheat). RNAcentral's name for it is "partial small subunit ribosomal RNA". The record is from RNAcentral. Lineage: Eukaryota; Viridiplantae; Streptophyta; Magnoliopsida; Poales; Poaceae.